Molecule: transfer RNA, 72 nt
Filed under: Ovis aries (sheep)
Lineage: Eukaryota; Metazoa; Chordata; Mammalia; Artiodactyla; Bovidae
Rfam family: tRNA
About the family: Transfer RNA (tRNA) molecules are approximately 80 nucleotides in length. Their secondary structure includes four short double-helical elements and three loops (D, anti-codon, and T loops).
Source: Rfam by way of RNAcentral
UCCCUGGUGGCUCAGAUGGUAAAGAAUCUGCCUGUAAUGCAGGAGACCCAGGUUCAAACCCUGGCGAAGGUA